RNAcentral lists this ribosomal RNA (433 nucleotides) under uncultured bacterium. RNAcentral's name for it is "partial 16S ribosomal RNA". It matches the Rfam family "Bacterial small subunit ribosomal RNA", at positions 29 to 507 of the family's 1533-position model. The record is from RNAcentral.
AACGAACGCUGGCGGCAUGCCUAACACAUGCAAGUCGAACGAGACCUUCGGGUCUAGUGGCGCACGGGUGCGUAACGCGUGGGAACCUGCCCUUAGGUUCGGAAUAACUCCCCGAAAGGGGUGCUAAUACCGGAUAAUGUCUUCGGACCAAAGAUUUAUCGCCUUUGGAUGGGCCCGCGUUGGAUUAGCUAGUUGGUAGGGUAAAAGCCUACCAAGGCGACGAUCCAUAGCUGGUCUGAGAGGAUGAUCAGCCACACUGGGACUGAGACACGGCCCAGACUCCUACGGGAGGCAGCAGUGGGGAAUAUUGGACAAUGGGAGAAAGCCUGAUCCAGCAAUGACGCGUGAGUGAUGAAGGCAUUAGGGUUGUAAAGCUCUUUUACACGGGAUGAUAAUGACAGUACCGGGAGAAUAAGCUCCGGCUAACUCCGUG